RNAcentral lists this ribosomal RNA (519 nucleotides) under Botryosphaeria dothidea. RNAcentral's name for it is "eukaryotic LSU rRNA". The stretch from base 156 to 309 matches the Rfam family "5.8S ribosomal RNA". Lineage: Eukaryota; Fungi; Ascomycota; Dothideomycetes; Botryosphaeriales; Botryosphaeriaceae. The record is from RNAcentral.
GAUCCUCCCACCCUUUGUGUACCUACCUCUGUUGCUUUGGCGGGCCGCGGUUCUCCGCGGCCGCCCCCCUCCCCGGGGGGUGGCCAGCGCCCGCCAGAGGACCAUCAAACUCCAGUCAGUAAACGAUGCAGUCUGAAAAACAUUUAAUAAACUAAAACUUUCAACAACGGAUCUCUUGGUUCUGGCAUCGAUGAAGAACGCAGCGAAAUGCGAUAAGUAAUGUGAAUUGCAGAAUUCAGUGAAUCAUCGAAUCUUUGAACGCACAUUGCGCCCUUUGGUAUUCCGAAGGGCAUGCCUGUUCGAGCGUCAUUACAACCCUCAAGCUCUGCUUGGUAUUGGGCACCGUCCUUUGCGGGCGCGCCUCAAAGACCUCGGCGGUGGCGUCUUGCCUCAAGCGUAGUAGAACAUACAUCUCGCUUCGGAGCGCAGGGCGUCGCCCGCCGGACGAACCUUCUGAACUUUUCUCAAGGUUGACCUCGGAUCAGGUAGGGAUACCCGCUGAACUUAAGCAUAUCAUAA